GUGUCAGCAGCCGCGGUAAUACGUAGGGUGCGAGCGUUAAUCGGAAUUACUGGGCGUAAAGCGUGCGCAGGCGGUUCGUCGUGUCCUGUGUGAAAUCCCCGGGCUCAACCUGGGAACUGCAUGGGAAACUGGCGAGCUGGAGUGUGGCAGAGGGGGGUGGAAUUCCGCGUGUAGCAGUGAAAUGCGUAGAGAUGCGGAGGAACACCGAUGGCGAAGGCAGCCCCCUGGGCCAACACUGACGCUCAGGCACGAAAGCGUGGGGAGCAAACAGGAUUAGAUACCCUGGUAGUCCACGCCCUAAACGAUGUCAACUGGGUGUCGGGGGAGCGAUCCCUUGGUACCGUAGCUAACGCGUGAAGUUGACCGCCUGGGGAGUACGGCCGCAAGGUUAAA
Molecule: ribosomal RNA, 393 nt
Filed under: uncultured bacterium
Lineage: Bacteria
Description: bacterial SSU rRNA
Rfam family: Bacterial small subunit ribosomal RNA
Source: RNAcentral